AUUGAACGCUGGCGGAAUGCUUUACACAUGCAAGUCGAACGGUAGAGGGGGCAACCCCUCGAGAGUGGCGAACGGGUGAGUAAUAUAUCGGAACGUGCCCAGGCGUGGGGGAUAACGUAGCAAAAGUUACGCUAAUACCGCAUACGAUCUAAGGAUGAAAGCGGGGGAUCGCAAGACCUCGCGCGAUGGGAGCGGCCGAUAUCAGCUUAGGUAGUUGGUGGGGUAAAGGCUCACCAAGCCAACGAUGCGGAGCUGGUCUGUGAGGACGACCAGCCCCACUGGAACUGAGACACGGCCCAGACUCCUACGGGAGGCAGCAGUGGGGAAUUUUGGACAAUGAGCGAAAGCCUGAUGCAGCCAUUCCGCGUGCAGGAUGAAGGCCCUCGGGUUGUAAACUGCUUUUGUACAGAACGAAAAGGAUUCUACUAAUACUAGGAGCUCAUGACGGUACGGUCAGAAUAAGCACCGGCUAACUACGUGCCAGCCGCCGCGGUAA
This 496-nucleotide ribosomal RNA is filed under the name uncultured bacterium. Its description in RNAcentral is "partial 16S ribosomal RNA". It matches the Rfam family "Bacterial small subunit ribosomal RNA", at positions 30 to 523 of the family's 1533-position model. The record is from RNAcentral.